UUUGAGACUUCAUUUUAAAUGACUUCACUGACUUUUAAGGUCAGUGAAGCUGAAGCCUCACUUCCAUGAUGUCCAUCUCCAAGACCUUCCAUAUAUUACUGGCUAAUGGUAAAAAAUACAGUCUGAUAAAGAGAUACGGAAAUUUGAGGAAGUCUACCCCAGAAAAAAAUCAAUACCUUCAGAGUUCAUCCAAACUUCUGACUGAAGCAUGUUUACAGGCAUCAAAUUUGCCACUUUGGGGCGUGCUAGGAGUGGUACUCACAUCAGACACCACUAGUGCUGAGGGAGAAAUGUGCUGAGGGAGAGAAAUGAAGGGCAGAGAUCUGGAAUACAGAGGGAAAGUAUCUAAUCAGAAAUAACAGCUCUCAUCAGGCGCAGACAAUAGACAGUAAACUGGCUUCAGGAGAGCUAUUCAGGCGUCGUGGGAGCCAAAUCAACAGACAGAAGUGCUUUCUCUUAGGAGGCGAUGCUCCUGACAGCUUGAUUACUUGGAUUCUGAGGUGAAAAUGCCCAACCAAAGAGAUCAGUUGAGAGAGGAAAAAGCAGCACAUUAAAAUAAGAAAACCAGGAUUUUUGUGAAGGACACAAUUGUGUGUUUGCGUGUUGCUGAAACCCAAAGGAAGAAACUUCCAGCUCUCAGGUCUUCUCAAACCUCUGGAGAGGACACCAUGCCUGAAAUGAUUGUGAAGAACACCUCAAACAAACAAAAAACCAAGGUAAUCUGUCUUCAUCAGAUCUUGUCCAGAAUGCAUUGGUGUGUUAUCUCAGUGCCUGUGAGCUGGGCAGCAGUGCCUGGCUGCCAUGUGUUGGGGAGAUAGUUCUGCUGUUUCAGGUUCCUUGGCAGCAUUCUGAAGUUGGUGGUGUUUGCCACCUUCUGCAGGCUGAGCCCAUGAUCUUCCCUACCAACAACACCUGCCCCAUGGAUCUCACCAAGAUCAUGUGUAUUGACCUGGAAGAGGAAGAAAAGAAAGUACACUGGAGGAAAUGAAGGAGAAAUGGAUAAACACAACCUGAAAAAGCAUUUAAUUUCUUCAUCGCUACCUAAAAAGCAGAAAAUGGUUUUAAAGUAACUUUUAUGAUAUGAAAGUCAUUUAAAGUAAUUGUUCUUAAAAUUCCUACCAGGUCAAGCAAUUGUUUCUGUGUCUGUCAUGCAAGUGAAUGAGUAACAAUGAGAUGGUAAAAACUGGCUGACUUCAUAAUUUAAAAAAUAAUUUGUUCACAUCACUUUUUUGCUUUUGUACAGUUUCUUGCUUCCUCACUAUGAUUCUGAACACCAGCUUUAUUGCUGCCUUGUGCACUUGGGGUUUAGAAGUGUAUUGCUAGAUUAGAGGGGAUUAGAUUGGCUGGGGCUCUGAGCAACCUGGACUGGUGGAAGGUGUCCCGGCCCCUGGCAGGGAGGUUGGAACAAGAUGAGCUUUAAGCUCCCCUCCAACCUAAUAAAUUCUGUCAUUCUAUGAUUAAAGCAUUUGGCCCUGAACACUGAGCCAGGGAGCAGCAGGGGCUGCCUAACCCCACGAGGAUGCAGCACCUGUUGAUGGAGGCAGCCAAACCAUCACCCAGCAUCCUUGCCCUACCAGGAAAAAAGCAGAAAAAGGCUGGGAUUUAAUGUUGUUUGAGUUGUUUUGGUUUUUUUCUCUACAAGACUGGUGAGGACAGAGGAAGGGAGCAGGUGGGGAUGCCAGGGGUGAGCUUCAUCUGCCACAGGAUGGAGAAGUUGGGACCAUGCCCAAAGGGAAAGUGAAGCUCAGCCAGGAGGGCUUCUGAGGAUACCUUUCUGCGAAUGGGAAGGCACAUCAUUCCAAUAGUGAGGAAGGAUCUAAUUUAAGGGCUAAAAUGAAAAGCUGUGUAUUGCUGAAAAUGCAGAGUCUCAAUUUUCCUGUGACAUGCAGGAUUCAUUUCUGGGCCUUGCAGUUCAUGAGAUAAUGGACUGUGUAACUGUUCCUCAUCGCUGUGACUAACUGCUCCUUUUUGGCACACGUCCUGGAACUCAAAGCAGUGUAAUUUUUAUUUCUGGAUAUCACAACUAAUUAUUCUAUUACAACUAGCUGUAACGUUACAACUAACAUUAUUCAUCUGGGCCCUGGUUAUCCUUUCCCUUUUAUAAAUCCUACUUCUGCACAGAUUAAAUUUUGAGGCUAUUAACA
Long non-coding RNA from Parus major (Great Tit), 2144 nucleotides. RefSeq lists it as uncharacterized. The record is from RefSeq and is a predicted model, not a curated record. NCBI's taxonomy places the organism in Eukaryota, Metazoa, Chordata, Aves, Passeriformes, Paridae. The transcript is spliced from 6 exons.